Long non-coding RNA from Salvia splendens (bonfire salvia), 1584 nucleotides. RefSeq lists it as uncharacterized. The record is from RefSeq and is a predicted model, not a curated record. The transcript is spliced from 3 exons. NCBI's taxonomy places the organism in Eukaryota, Viridiplantae, Streptophyta, Magnoliopsida, Lamiales, Lamiaceae.
UCGUAAUUCCGUAACCCCAAGAAUGAUAUGAACAGCAGACAAUUGCAAUUGAGCUGAAAAUUCAGCUCGGAAAAUGGCGGCAGCAAUCACUUUCCGAUCCCGAUUCAGACCGUAUAAUCGGGUUCUAGACGUUGUAGAUGAUCGUUCGGUUCUAAUUAGUGGAUGCUUGGAAGAAAGGUAUUUUUCCCCCUACUUUUAUGGAGUGAUUAAAUAAUAAUGUGGUGGAAUCGUUUAGUCGGCCUCAAUUUGGUGAAAUUACGUGUUUUUAUUUUUCUGCAAUUUUGUUGAUCAACUGGAAAGUAAUGGAAUCCUGAUUAAUGAAUUGGUUAAAAUAGCGGCUUCUUAAUUGAUGUGCAGGGGGCGUGUUUGAAAUUUUGAAUAUCUAGGUUUGUUGUUAGUUUCGUGUAUGUGAUUAUUAUGGGGAAUCAGAACUAGUAUAUUUGGGGUUUGAAUGAGUAAUGUGAUUGAAUUUGCUGUUAAUAUGUGAUUCCAAAGCUACUUAUUAGAUGAACCUGUUCUGCUUUGCUCUCACAAUAUCCGAGUCCCUGACUGAAAGGUCGUUGUAUACGUCGUUUGAUCGGCUGCUUACAUAGAAAUGUAUCCAGAUGGAUUGUUUGUGCUUCUUGCAUUUCAAUUGGCGUCUUUCUUUGUUAUCAGCUCAAACGUGUGGUGGUCUUUGUUUUUGUGCAAAUCUGCUGCUGCAUUCACUCUUUUAUCUUUAGAAUAUAUGUGUUUGGUUCGGCCUAUAUAGUACGAACAUUACAGUUUUUGGAAAUACACAUCAACCUAAGUGCUUGGGGCUGAUAUUGAUGGUUAAUCUUCUUGCUGCGGUCUCCCUCAUAUUUCCUGCCUCGGGUUUCCUUGUCCCUGUGUAUCUCAAAAUUAGCCAAGAGAAUACCAACACUAGCGCAGAGAGUUUUCGAACACGGAAAUCAGCCUGAGGACUUGUGGCUUAUAUGAUACCAACAUUAGGGUAGAGAGAUUUCAUAAAUGGACACCAAGCUGAGUAUUUGGGGCUGAUAUUGAUGUUUACUCUCCCCUGUAUAUUUCUUAACUCGUGUUUUCUUGCAUGCAGCAUGCCUCAAAAUUAAGCCUAGAUUAUACCAACACAAGGUAGAGAAUUUUGGAAAACAAACAUCAACUUGUGGCUGUGUUUAACUUUUGAUGGCUGUUCAUUCCAACACAAGAUGCUGUUGUUGGUCCAUUAAAUUUUCUACUACAGUAGUUCCCCUGCACUGCAUUUGAGUUUCCAUUGCAUUUCACCAUUUCGUCGAAGCAAUGGAGCACUACACAAGUCUCCAUGAUGAGCUAAAAUGGACUUGAGACUGUUAUGUUUAAAAGUUUCUGUUGUAUCAUUGAAGUUUGGCUAUUAGUAAGAUGCAGCCGUGCAUACCCAACCCCAUCGACCUUCUGCAUCGUUGCAACUUGCAAGUGUUUGAAACUGACUUGUUACAGUGCCGAUAGCUCUUCAACUGUAGGGUUUAUUGAAUAUGCACUUCUUUUAAUGUUUUUAGCAAACUUGAGUAAUGUCAAGCAUUAUCUUAUUCAUGUACGAUUAUAUAACACAAGCGUUGUUUCUGCCUA